This 573-nucleotide ribosomal RNA is filed under the name Triticum aestivum (bread wheat). Its description in RNAcentral is "partial small subunit ribosomal RNA". Lineage: Eukaryota; Viridiplantae; Streptophyta; Magnoliopsida; Poales; Poaceae. The record is from RNAcentral.
AUGUCUUCCUCCUUCUCUUCAAGCUCAAGGGCGGCAUCUUCAUCCCAGAGGCGCUUCGCUCCAGCUGGCCAAACCAGGUCGCCGGUGCGUUACAGGGUGGGUCCGCUGGACUACGAGCCUGCGACACCAUGUUGGUGCAAGAACAGGCCCAAGGCGGCCAUGUGGAUCUCGUGGAGCUAUGAGAACCCAGGGAGAAGAUACAAGACAUGUGCCCGGUCACAGAUGGGAGGAUGUGAAAUGUACGAGUGGUUCGACGAUCCCAUUGAGAAUCUGUUCCUCAAGCAGCUGGUCAUUGAUCUACGCGACAAGGUGCGUCAGCUAGAGAGGAUCAACUCAGAGUUACGAGCUGAAGCAACUUCGGUGCAGCAACGGCAAGCUGCGCAAAAAGCUGUUCAACCAGCUCCAGAAGAUAAUGUAGCAGUCAACCCAGGGAUCAGGGCUGUGAACGACGCUUUGACAGCUUCGAGGGCGUCGUUUGCCACUGAAGUUUGGUUCCCUUGCAUCCUCAUUAGUUCAUAUAUCAUCAAGCUGCUGUGCGAUGAUAGCGUGUCCUACACAAAUGCAGGUGUUUAG